CUCUUAGAUGCUAGCUAUGUUUCUUGCAAAUGGCAAAAUCUUUGUCUUUUAAAGGUUGGGGCUUUGCUUGUCAGGGUAUUGUUUGGAGGUAGAGGUGUGAGUGUGGGUGUGGCAUGAUGGGAGCCAGGGGCCAGGCAACUUGUCCCAUAGCCAUUACCAGAGAGGCUCUAGGAAGGUAUAUUUACAAGUUGGAGGAAGUUGGAAUUGCUGAAGACAAGGCUUGGCAGUGACCCUCCCUUGAAGCAGGUUGGUGAACACAACCGUCAUUGCCACAAGAGACAGCAUCAACAUGUAGAUAAAGGACAAAUACAAAUCUAGAGAGAGAGAGAAAUGAUGAUAGCAAGGGCACAGAUAUUUAUGAAGAGACAGAAAUGAAAAUAAUGUAUUAUAUUGAAAUAAACUUGUGCUUAACAUCAA
Molecule: long non-coding RNA, 417 nt
Filed under: Homo sapiens (human)
Lineage: Eukaryota; Metazoa; Chordata; Mammalia; Primates; Hominidae
Description: HSALNT0323273
Source: RNAcentral